Molecule: transfer RNA, 68 nt
Filed under: Chelidoperca hirundinacea
Lineage: Eukaryota; Metazoa; Chordata; Actinopteri; Perciformes; Serranidae
Description: tRNA-Ser (AGY)
Source: RNAcentral
GAGAGAGGCUAGCAAGCAACGAAGACUGCUAAUCUCCGUAACCUAGGUUGAAUUCCAAGGCUCACUCG